GUAUAAGUAGCUCAGUGCUAAGAGCUCCGGUUUUGUAAUCCGGAGGACGAAGGUUAAAAUCCUUCCUUCUACA
This 73-nucleotide transfer RNA is filed under the name Osteomugil perusii (longfinned mullet). RNAcentral describes it as "Moolgarda perusii (longfinned mullet) tRNA-Thr". It matches the Rfam family "tRNA". From Rfam's summary of the family: Transfer RNA (tRNA) molecules are approximately 80 nucleotides in length. Their secondary structure includes four short double-helical elements and three loops (D, anti-codon, and T loops). The record is from RNAcentral. Lineage: Eukaryota; Metazoa; Chordata; Actinopteri; Mugiliformes; Mugilidae.